CUCUGCUCAGCUCCCUCGCGCGCCGCCAGCAGAGUGAGGCUGGGAGCCGGAAUAUGACGUCAUCAACCCGGCUCCCAGCCUCACUCUGCUGGCGGCGCGCGAGGGAGCUGAGCAGAGCGCUCA
This 123-nucleotide microRNA precursor is filed under the name Pelobates cultripes (western spadefoot toad). The record is from RNAcentral. Lineage: Eukaryota; Metazoa; Chordata; Amphibia; Anura; Pelobatidae.